GCUCAAUCUGGAAUGCGCGGGUAGAGUUCACUCUUUAGCCGUCGGAUUGGUCCAUGAUGUGUAAACUCCACCCUCCAGCACACCAGCUGAAUGAAAUCAAGAGCACCUAAUCGCAAUUGGGAAAUUGAACCAAUUGAAAUUAAGUUCAUUGGUUGACACCUGUACAUAAUUAGCCAUUCAGGUAAGAAGGGUCUGGGAUUCCUUUAUGAGGUGCAACCAAAACAGCUGUUAGACAUUGUAACAGGGAUAUUCUGGCAGGGUGUCUGUCUAGCAUUAGUUCUGAAUACGGUUGUGGUUUUGAUCACUAAAAUGGCUGUGACUUUUGGACUCUCUUUGAGUGUUUCUUGGAUUUGUUGCCUGCUAAUUGGUGAGAUAACGUGUUUUACCCUUCAAGGUGCUUAUGGGCAUCCUACCUCUACUGUAGCCCAAGUGAGUGUGGUGUCUGUUCCAAAUGCUAAAGCUACUGGCCACAAUAGCUCGGCAAAUGUGACGUCGGGUCGAAAUGCCUCGGCAGAAGCCACCGGCCCCCGCGCCUCAGCAGAAGCCACCGGCCCCCGCGCCUCAGCAGAAGCCACCGGCCCCCGCGCCUCAGCAGAAGCCACCGGCCCCCGCGCCUCAGCAGAAGCCACCGGCCCCCGCGCCUCAGCAGAAGCCACCGGCCCCCGCGCCUCAGCAGAAGCCACCGGCCCCCGCGCCUCAGCAGAAGCCACCGGCCCCCGCGCCUCAGCAGAAGCCACCGGCCCCCGCGCCUCAGCAGAAGCCACCGGCCCCCGCGCCUCAGCAGAAGCCACCGGCCCCCGCGCCUCAGCAGAAGCGACCGGCCUUGAACCGACGGCCCGACCCCUCACCAAGCUAGAUAGGGAGAUCAUAAUUUGGUUUGCCCAACUCCUUAAUCGUCUGUCCCCUGUUACUGUGACUCCUUUUGAAGCCAAGGUAACUGAGGGGAAAGAUGUCAAUUUUAGUCGUAUGGUGAUAAAAACAAUUCAUAACAUUGUAUCGUCCACCCCUGUAAACAAUUUGCAUGACGAUGUACAAGUGAAGGAGAUCCUCAUUUCAAACAAACACAUUAGUUGGCACAUUUCCCCACCUCAGUUACCUUUAACGUUUUCAAAAGGAGGCACAGUAACAUGGGAAAGACAAUUAAGGAGUUGGGCAAUCCAAAUUCUGAUCUCCCUAGUUGAGUGGUCGGGCCGUCUGUUCAAGGCCUGUUGCUCCUGCUGAGGCGCCGGGGCCUGUCGCUCCUGCUGAGGCGCCGGGGCCUGUCGCUCCUGCUGAGGCGCCGGGGAUAGGAUCCAGUUGGUUCAGGUCUACUGUAGGCAGGAUGCCCAUGAGCGUUACCUAGGAAACAAAGAAAACAUUGUGGUAAAAUGCCAUUCUUAAGCAAUCGGGACUAGACUUCUGUGAUUUGACCUGAAUUAGUGUAAACCAAAACGCACCUUUUAAGUGUAAAACAAGUUAUCCCUCCAAUUAGCAGGCAACAAAUCCAAGAAACACUACAAAACAGUCAGACAGUUAAACAUAAAUAACCAGUGAACACUUUAAGACAUGGUAAACAAACCAGAUGAACACAUUGAAAAACUAACCUCAAAGAGAGUCCAAAAGUCACAGCCAUUUUAGUGAUCAAAACACACAACAAAACCGUUGUUUGCUGUUUUGGUUGCACCUCAUAACGGAAUUCCAGACCUUUCUAACCUGGCUGGCUAAUCUGUCAGCCAAUAAACUUCAUUUCCAUUGGUUCAAUUUCCCAAUUGCGAUUAGGUACUCCGGAUGUCAUACAGCUGGUGUGCACUGGUGUACUGGAGGGUGGAGUUUGCACAUCAUGGACCAAUCCGAUGGUUUUAAAGAAUGAACUCUACCCAUCCAUUCUGGACUGUGCCAAUUGUUUUUUAACAGGAGUCGUCCGUUGACGUAUGGUGAACUCAGCAACGUUUUAAAGAAAAACAGAGAAUUGAUGAAUGCAUAUUCAAUUUCAUACAUAUUUC
RNAcentral lists this long non-coding RNA (1982 nucleotides) under Oncorhynchus kisutch (coho salmon). RNAcentral's name for it is "lncRNA (ENSOKIG00005019270.1)". Lineage: Eukaryota; Metazoa; Chordata; Actinopteri; Salmoniformes; Salmonidae. The record is from RNAcentral.